AUACGGAGGGGGCUAGCGUUGUUCGGAAUUACUGGGCGUAAAGCGCACGUAGGCGGAUUAAAAAGUUAGAGGUGAAAUCCCAGGGCUUAACCCUGGAACUGCCUUUAAAACUAGUAGUCUAGAGUUCGAGAGAGGUGAGUGGAAUUCCAAGUGUAGAGGUGAAAUUCGUAGAUAUUUGGAGGAACACCAGUGGCGAAGGCGGCUCACUGGCUCGAUACUGACGCUGAGGUGCGAAAGCGUGGGGAGCAAACAGGACUAGAAACCCCAGUAGUCC
RNAcentral lists this ribosomal RNA (274 nucleotides) under uncultured bacterium. RNAcentral's name for it is "partial 16S ribosomal RNA". It matches the Rfam family "Bacterial small subunit ribosomal RNA", at positions 523 to 796 of the family's 1533-position model. The record is from RNAcentral.